This 72-nucleotide transfer RNA is filed under the name Phrynosoma platyrhinos (Desert horned lizard). RNAcentral's name for it is "tRNA-OTHER". The record is from RNAcentral. Lineage: Eukaryota; Metazoa; Chordata; Lepidosauria; Squamata; Phrynosomatidae.
GCCAGCGUGGCAUAGUGGUUUGAGUGUUGGACUAUGACUCUAUAGACCAGGGUUCAAUUUCCAGCUCGGCCA